AACGAGCGCUGGCGGCAGGCCUAACACAUUCUUGUCGAGCGAAGCCUUCGGGCUUAGCGGCGGACGGGUGAGUAACGCGUGGGAACGUGCCCUUUGGUACGGAAUAGCCCCGGGAAACUGGGAGUAAUACCGUAUGUGGUCGAGAGACGAAAGAUUUAUCGCCAAAGGAUCGGCCCGCGGUGGAUUAGGUAGUUGGUGGGGUAAUGGCCUACCAAGCCGACGAUCCAUAGCUGGUUUGAGAGGAUGAUCAGCCACACUGGGACAGAGACACGGCCCAGACUCCAACGGGAGGCAGCAGUGGGGAAUCUUAGACAUUGGGGGAAACCCUGAUCUAGCCAUGCCGCGUGAUCGAUGAAGGCCUUAGGGUUGUAAAGAUCUUUCAGUGGGGAAGAUAAUGACUGUACCCACAGAAGAAGCCCCGGCUAACUCCGUGCCAGCCGCCGCAGUAA
RNAcentral lists this ribosomal RNA (449 nucleotides) under uncultured bacterium. RNAcentral's name for it is "partial 16S ribosomal RNA". It matches the Rfam family "Bacterial small subunit ribosomal RNA", at positions 29 to 523 of the family's 1533-position model. The record is from RNAcentral.